GCUUGUUUUUUCAAGAGUAUAUUUUUACUCUGAUAAAUAAUAAACUUUUCCAGAAGGCUAUCAGUGUGGCUGCCUCCUGCUGGAAGCCUGGGAUGCUGGAAUCAGGCAACUUCCUGUCUGUCUGUACAAGACACUGGGCUGCACUCUAAGAAUAUCUUGGCUCUCCCCAGGAUCUGGACCAUCACAGGGCCACAGAAAUUGUCCACUCUCUCCUCUGAAGAGAACAGAGCUGCCCCUCAUCUUCCAGCCCAGCUCUCCUGUUUUCUCAGCACCUCAGCGGGACAAGACAGACAGAGCCUGCCAGAACCAAGGAAUUUGGGAACUGCAAAGUGAAGAGAUUACUGUGCUGAAGGAGCUGGGAAGUGCCCCAUGUGGAGCGGUCCAUCUGGGCAGGUGGAAGGGGCAGUGUGAUGUUCUGUUAAGGUGACCAGGGAGAGCUCCAUGUCAGAUGAAUUCUUCCAGGAGGCCCAGACCAUCAGGUCAGUUUCUUCUGGGGAAUCGUGGUUUAGCCCUCACCAUGAGAGGAUGUUCAUGGUAACAGGUCUGUCUGUGACAUCUGUAAGGCCUGAAUCAAGAGUCCACAUAUCACAGAAUAAAUGGAACAUUACUCAGUCAUAAAAAAUGAAAUAAUGCCAUUUCAGCAACAUGGAUGGAUGUAGAGAUUAGCUCAUUAAGUGAAGACACAAAUAUCAUGAUAUCACUUAUGUAUGGACUCUAAACUGUGAUGCACGUGAACUUCUUGACAAAACAAACAGUCCAGAGAAAACAAACAUAAGGUUACCAAAGGGGAAAGGGAUGGGGGAUUAAUUAGGAACUUGGUAUUAACAGGUACACACUACUAUAUAUAAAAUUGAUAAACAAGGCCUUCCUGUAUAGCACAGGGAACUAUAUUCAAUAUUUGUAAUAGCCUAAUAAUCUGAGAGCAUGUAUGUAGGUGUGUUUUAUAUAUAUGUAUUAUAUA
Molecule: long non-coding RNA, 961 nt
Filed under: Ovis aries (sheep)
Lineage: Eukaryota; Metazoa; Chordata; Mammalia; Artiodactyla; Bovidae
Description: lncRNA (ENSOARG00000026440.1)
Source: RNAcentral